MicroRNA precursor from Tetranychus urticae (two-spotted spider mite), 80 nucleotides. It matches the Rfam family "mir-5736 microRNA precursor family". NCBI's taxonomy places the organism in Eukaryota, Metazoa, Arthropoda, Arachnida, Trombidiformes, Tetranychidae. The record is from Rfam.
AAAUACCUUUGCGGAGUUGAUUGGGCGAAUGGGUCUUAAACAAUCAACCAUCUGCCCAAUCGACUCCAAAAAAAGUAUUA